This 611-nucleotide long non-coding RNA is filed under the name Rattus norvegicus (Norway rat). Its description in RNAcentral is "long non-coding RNA NONRATT018980". The record is from RNAcentral. Lineage: Eukaryota; Metazoa; Chordata; Mammalia; Rodentia; Muridae.
GAGAGGUGUAGGUUUCUGCUCUGAUGGAGGAACAUCCUGAGACACGGGGACCCAGGAACUACGUGUGUGUGUGUGAGUGCAGGUCCUCACAGAGGCCAGAGGCGUCAGGAUCCAGGGUCUGCACUUAGAGACUUUGAGCUGCCUGACCUGUGGAUGUAGCUGAGGUGGGAAGCACUUCCAGCACCGCCACAAAACAAGGAUCCCUGAGGGGAAAACACUAGUCUUCUGUUGUUGUUUUUGUUUGCUGCCUGUUUGCUUUCGUGUCUUGUUGGUGAGCUCAUCUUCUCUGCUCACUUACGUUGUCCCUGCCGCUGUCACUGCUGCUGCCCUUUGCUGUCAUGAGCACCCAGUGUCUUCAGCCUUCCAACCUGAACUGAAGACCAGCGACUCUCCCAAGAAUCCUCUGGAACUUCAGCACCACAUUAGGACUACCGAGGACCCCAGCUGGGUAGAUGGAAUAGCUACCAGUUCUGUUCUUCCAGUGUUAAGACAGCCAUUGUUGGAUUACCUAAACCAUAUCCUAUACGUCAAUCUAAUAAAUCCUUUUUCCUAUUUUCAUCCUAUUGGUGCUCUUCUAUACAGACUCAAUAAAUGAACAUAUCCGAUGCCUU